AUGGCUGUUCGCCAUUUAAAGUGGUACGCGAGCUGGGUUUAGAACGUCGUGAGACAGUUCGGUCCCUAUCUGCCGUGGGCGUUGGAAGAUUGAGAGGGGUUGCUCCUAGUACGAGAGGACCGGAGUGAACGCACCACUGGUGUUCGGGUUGUCAUGCCAAUGGCAUUGCCCGGUAGCUAAGUGCGGAAGAGAUAAGCGCUGAAAGCAUCUAAGCGCGAAACUUGCCUCGAGAUGAGUCUUCCCUUGGACUUUAAGUCCACUAAAGGAACGUUUAAGACUAAGACGUUGAUAGGCUGGGUGUGUAAGUGCAGCGAUGCAUUGAGCUAACCAGUACUAAUGAACCGUGAGGCUUAACCUUACAACACCGAAGGUGUUUUAG
RNAcentral lists this ribosomal RNA (379 nucleotides) under Gibbsiella quercinecans. RNAcentral's name for it is "bacterial LSU rRNA". It matches the Rfam family "Bacterial large subunit ribosomal RNA", at positions 2572 to 2925 of the family's 2925-position model. The record is from RNAcentral. Lineage: Bacteria; Pseudomonadati; Pseudomonadota; Gammaproteobacteria; Enterobacterales; Yersiniaceae.